Molecule: transfer RNA, 76 nt
Filed under: Clostridia bacterium
Lineage: Bacteria; Bacillati; Bacillota; Clostridia
Description: tRNA-Thr
Rfam family: tRNA
About the family: Transfer RNA (tRNA) molecules are approximately 80 nucleotides in length.
Source: RNAcentral
GCUAUUGUAGCUCAGUCGGUAGAGCACCACAUUGGUAGUGUGGAGGUCACGAGUUCGAUUCUCGUCAAUAGCUCCA